CGUAAUUCCAACAAUACUUGGAAUUUAUUAUGCAACUUACCUUUUGUCACCCGAUAUGGUUAUGUUUCUAACCUCUCUACCAUCCAGUAUUUUGGAACGCACCGCAACUACACCUAUAUGCUUGUUAGCGAUAAAACAUGCUACGAAGAACAUUUGUUUCUGUUCAGAAGGGAGUCUACACCGUGUAGGUAGGUGGUUGGCACGAGAAAACCUCUACUCCAGCCAUCUGGAACGACUUAAAACACCAAAAAGCACGAGAGAAAAGAACGAACUAACCAUCCAUGGUCCUUCUCGAUGUCCUUUUCUUUGGCCUCGUGCCCUUUCCCUAUCUGCGUUCGGAGAUGUACGUGCACAGAAAGCGACGAGUCGGAUCUAAAAGAACGGUCAAUAUUUCCAUUGACAAUGUGGCUAGAUUAACUUGUAAAUGGGUGUAGAUUAACGUCUGGAUUAUGGAUUUGAUGUGAAACAGUGCCACCAGUCGCUGAAUGAGAGAAAAGGACAAUUUGAAAGUUGUCAUUUAGCAUAACCUACAUCAAUCUUUGGAUUAGACGGAUUUAGUCGAAUAACGCCACCAGUCGACUUGACGAAUAAUCCUUUCUUAUCCACAACUGCCAGCCUAAUUUAGGAAUUAUUACUCAAAUUUUUACUCAUGCUAUUUUCUAACGGGAUUUUUGUUAAAGAUAAGUAAAAUGAAUGAGGUAAUUCACGUAUAGUUUAUUUACAUAUAUAUAAUAAAUACAAAUAUGAAAUAGGUUACAAACACAAUUAUAUGAAGUAUUUCCUUAAAGGAACCAAGAGCCAAAACUGGAGAUGAAAAUAAGUAUAGAUGCAAAAUGAAUGGAAAUAGAUAGAUUAGUAGGCCUCAUUGAUUCCGACAACGAGCCCCAAUUUCCAAGACAGAUUCAUACUAUUCAUACAGAAAAGAUUCAUACUAGCAUAUUUGGUGUCCUUCAAGGAAGAGGAAGGAACAGAGGAAGUCUAGAAGAUUCGUGAAGAAGACGGAAGGAGAGAGAGGCCGGAAAGAAGGUAGAGAAGGAAGAGAAGAACAUCAAAGAGAAGCGACAACGGAUACGCGUAAACCUUGAGCUGCGAAUGCCGAAAAACCGACAGAGGUUCGAAGUAACUGACGCGUUCUCGGGAAAACUCAUCAAAGAGCCGUGGAUGGAUAAAUGUAACCGCCCGUUUAGCGUGAAACCCCUCGCUAAUUUUAAUUGCUGCCUGAUUUACGUCUCGAUACGUUCCUUUUCGCUCUUCUAUUUUUUUCUUCUCUCUCCACUUCGUGCUACGAAGAUCCCCUACUCCCCAGUGCUUUUCGCACAUAUGGGUAGACGUGGACGUCGCAGCAAGGAACUCGUUCUGUGGCCGCGAACGCGACGGCUCCCGUGAAAAAAUGAUAAAUGCCUCGAAGACAAGCGGAUACGGAUUACUGUGAUUUGUCGGUACUACAGGGCGACGAUUUGUCACGGAAUUUAAUUACAGAUGCCGCGAGGAGUGGUCUAUGUGUUUACCUGACAUACGACCUCAUGUAACUGUGGUUAUAUGGUACAAGACAUAAAUCACAUGCUAUAGAAUUGUUCUCUAGUUCAAGUGUUUGUAGAUGUUAAACGAUACAAAAUUGAGAGGAAACAAGACAUAGAUACAUCGAAUUUUUAUGAAUUUUUCAGAAAGCUCAAAAACUACGGUCACUGAAUUAUUAAGAAAUGCAACUGUCAUGUGCUCUUAUUGAAUGAAAAAGACACAUAGACUUGAGAUGAAGCUCUGUACAUAAUUGGUGAACAAAAUUUCUUUUGUCUUGAUAUUUUUCGCUAUGAAUUCUUACUUCUCAUAAAUUCUAUUUCCUGUAAGUCUUCCUUUGUAACUUACAUCUUACAUAAUAAAUUUAA
This is a long non-coding RNA of Bombus impatiens (common eastern bumble bee), 1883 nucleotides long. RefSeq lists it as uncharacterized. NCBI's taxonomy places the organism in Eukaryota, Metazoa, Arthropoda, Insecta, Hymenoptera, Apidae. The record is from RefSeq and is a predicted model, not a curated record. The transcript has 3 exons.